UACGUAGGGGGCAAGCGUUGUCCGGAUUUAUUGGGCGUAAAGAGCGUGUAGGCGGCCAGGGAGGUCCGUUGUGAAAACUCGAGGCUCAACCUCGAGACGCCGAUGGAAACCCCCUGGCUAGAGUCCGGAAGAGGAGAAUGGAAUUCCUGGUGUAGCGGUGAAAUGCGCAGAUAUCAGGAAGAACACCCGUGGCGAAGGCGGCUCUCUGGGACGGUACUGACGCUGAGACGCGAAAGCGUGGGGAGCGAACAGG
This 253-nucleotide ribosomal RNA is filed under the name uncultured bacterium. RNAcentral describes it as "partial 16S ribosomal RNA". It matches the Rfam family "Bacterial small subunit ribosomal RNA", at positions 524 to 776 of the family's 1533-position model. The record is from RNAcentral.